UCAGAUAUGCCGAUUUUGAAGUGCCGCAGAACUGAGCAAUACUCGCGCUGUGUGUUCAUUACCGAACACUGAAUAUGUGUGCGAAAUAUCUUGCUCCAACUGUUCGUAGUUUUUUAGAAAACAGUUUUUUUAGUUCCCACGCCCGGCCGUCAGACCGUCGGCAAACCCUGCGCACGGGCGCACCGACGUCACCGCUCUCGGUUUAUCUGUCUUUGGCUUGGCAUGGACUCUUGGCUUGGCCGCUUUGCUUCUUUCGUUUCGUCCUCUGUGCAUCGUACGUAAGCGAACAGCUGUUAUGUUGUUGCUAAGCCGGAAACAAAGCAUGUGAAUAUUUUUUUUUGGCACGGCGUCGUUUGGAAAGUGCACUUCCUUGUUCUGACCUUGCCUUUUAUGGGCUGGAGCGAUACGAUACGUGAUAUGCUACGGCGAAGUUGUCGAAGAUGCGACGGUGCUACGCUGUUAGAACAAUUCAUCGGAGCAUUCAAGUGUUACCUAUUAUAAGCUGCCAAAAGACCAAGCAGUGCGAAGCUCUUGGCUGACAGUGAUGCCUGCUAAUUUCCACUGCAAGGAUUUCGUCCACAAAUGUUAUCAUAGGUUACGAGCGACUCCAGAGGCACUUUGGAAUCUCGGCAUGAAAUCGUCUGAUGAAAAUCUCAGGUGCCCGACGCACAACAUUUUGAACGUGCCACGGAGGAUCAAGGCAAAAAACGAGAGCGAAAAAGGUGCACGCUGAAGGCGGAAAUUAAGCAUGAUCUGGCUUGCAUCUGGUGCAUGAAGAAAUUGCUGACACGUUAGUUGCAGUCUACCUCCACCAACAGGGUGGAAAACAAAGGUCGCCAUUCCGAUUAGCUGCUAUCUCCCAGUUCAAGCACUUUUGCUGUCUGGACACUGGUUCCUGUGGAUGGGGUGUUACAAGCUUCACUGUCUGAUAUAGAAGCUACGCUACAUUAGUUCAGUUAAUUUGUCUUUUGCACAUUUUUGUUACUGUUAGCUGGAUUACUGUUGGACAUACAAUCCUUUGACACACCGAAGCUGAUGUUGUUGAAGCUGAUAACGUUUUAGAAUUUUCAGUGUCAUCAACGUCCAUUGAGGAAGGUGCCUUUACUAUCUGUGAAUCUUUAAUUGAAGAAUAGCCCAGAAUUCAUGUUAACAUUGUCUACUCUUAUUAAUUCACUGUCUGUGUUCUGAGAGCUAAAAAAAUGGAAACUAUUUAUUUGUCACAACUUCACACUGGAUGUGGUACUGGCUUGACAUGUAAGCUAAAAUACCUAGAUUCUACAAUAAUUGUGUUCAACUUGGUGCAUUACCGUGGGCAAUGCCACAUUCACUACAUUUUUAGUGGGUCUGGUGCACAAAUACUGUGUGCAUACUGCAUACAUACAUACUGUUCGAUAGGCAAAAAUACCUGAGCAGUGCUGUAUAGUCGUUUUACUCAAAGUCCAUACUCUUACUGCAAAGUCACAGUACGUAGAACAGCAAUGUGCAGGUAUGCUGCGAUAGAGAUUCACAACAGAAAGAAGACUUGAGAGCAUCUAAAUUUUAAUGAGACAAGACUUUCGUGCACAAGGCUGCUCUUGUUAAUGUCUAACAUGAAGUUACAAAAUCCCAGAAUAUAUAAAACAUGUUGUAAUGUAGAGAGCGAGGUUGGUACAGACAUAAAAAUAAUUAUACAAUGAUAUAUAAUAAAAUAAAAAGGGGGUACAACUCCCCCCUCAACUCAACUCGACAACUCAAUAACUCUACUUAUUCUCUACCUUACAACAUGUCAUAUAUUCUGGAAUUUUGUGACUUGAUGUUAGACCUCAAGAAGUACAGCCUUUUGUGCAAAAGUCUUCUUUCUGUUGUGCACAAUCAUUAUACAGUAAAUACGACUAUCCAUUUCUUGUCAUUAAAUGCUUUUUCUUCUUUUUUUUCUGCAGUGAUGAGCAUCCAUAAGGACACAUGCCAGAAAGGGAGUCUCUUUGGGAUGACAAACCCUCAUCACCUCAUGAGGAUACAAUGGUUGACGAAUGGUUCUCAAGUACAUCGAAACUUCAACAAAUAAUUCAUGAAGAAGCCAGUCAGUGCUAGCCCCAGGAAUUGAACGUGGACCGUCCUGCUACCAGUCAGAGAUGUUACAUUUCAGGCGCUCAUUGACUUUUGGUGAAUUACUUGUUGACUUUGUCCCAAGGUGGAGCUCGCCACAGCUCAUUUGCCUAUCUGUUAAUGUUGUGGCGUGUGUUGCGUUUUUCUCUUUGUGUGUUCCAGACUCAGAACGGUUAAUUUGGAUCAGGUCAGGUACGUUUCAUCUAGACAUGGCAAACAUAAAGUGGUGUUUCUCAACACAACUUAGCAGUGGCCUUCAUGCAUUACUGCUAUGGCCAUUAAGCGUGAAUGGAAAGCUCCACAUUAUGCAUGAUGUAAAACCCCAAGACUAGGGAACACGAAGGGACAGACACAAACACGUCCCUUUGUGUUCCCCAGUCUCGGGGGUUUUACAUAUGCAUCAUCUUCACCAGCUCGCUUGCUUCCUAGCCAUUUUUUCUGCACAUUAUGUUCACUCUACUUUUAUCAUGUGCUAUAUAAUCUUGUUCAAGUUCUGUCAAACGUCGUGUAAUGCUAUAAAAAAAUUCACUACACUGUUUAUGUGGGUUGAAUGGUAGCGCAUGAAUGCAGGAAGGAAACUGUCAUGUUAUGGCAAGUGUUUACGUAUUGUACAUUUAACUACGAAUUUUAUAGGUUAGCUUUUGCCGGCGUAUCAUGUCAAGCCACGUUAUAUCAAUUUGGAACGUGUUCUUAGUAGCCAGAGCAGCUGAUACACAGUGAGGACAUAGCCCGUGUGUGUUUGUCUUUUCCACCGCAGCCCUUGGGUUUUCUCCCUGAUGGCUACAAAUGUCAGGGAAAGGUUUCAGAACCGGUAGUUCCCGCCAAGUGUGAAUUGCUUUUCAGGGGAUCAUCACGCUGGCAGAUAAAACAUAUGGUUUAAAUUAUUUGCAGGACAGGAAUUGCGUAGCUUCACACAAAUACUACUACAACGACGUAAGAGUGGUUUCAAAUCUAGCUUUUUUGUGUUCCUGACAUUAUCGCACGAGAUGUAGUAUCCACUAUGAUCCUUUAUAUGGGGGGUAUGUACAGUGCAGUCAACAGAUGCUAUUUACAAAUCUGUGUUUUCUACUGUGUUGAAAUGGGGUAGUUUGUAUCUGAGAGCCAUAGUGAAACACAGGCAGCCAAGGACAGACUUUUGAUGCCCUCGAGAAACUUGGCAACACAAUGCAGGGACUCUGGAUGCUGCCUAAAUUUCCAGAACACACAGCUCAAGGCAGCGGUUAAAUAAUAAGUGGUUAGAGAAAUCCAAGACAGUUGCAUGUGUAAGCAGUCCGCUGUUGGAUUUGCUUCUGUCCGAGAUACGUUAUCUCAAAGGGAACGCACGGGCACACUCAGAAUGAUACCAGGGCUGCCUGUGAAAUAGAAUGAGGAGAGGGGAAGAUAUAUAACCCUUUUUUCUUGUCUGUUAUUCUAUUGGUUAAAUUGUCAUUUGCUUAGCAGCAUAUAUGUGUAUAUUCCAGAGUCUGCUAAUAAAUAUAUCAGUUUAGA
Ornithodoros turicata is the source of this 3573-nucleotide long non-coding RNA. RefSeq lists it as uncharacterized. The transcript is spliced from 3 exons. NCBI's taxonomy places the organism in Eukaryota, Metazoa, Arthropoda, Arachnida, Ixodida, Argasidae. The record is from RefSeq and is a predicted model, not a curated record.